AUGGGAACACAGGAAGAUAGGUAGUACAGAAUUAAUAUCAAAUGGGACUAGAGAACCGAAUUCUAUAGUCCAUGUUGCCCUUUGUGUUGCUGAUGUCUGGUAAUUUUUAGAUGAAAUAAGCAUUUAGGAGUUUAUCAUUUGAAGUCAGUACACAGUAUUUACACCAUUAUGCUCAGUCUAUAGCUAGGCACAAUUUGUUGCCAAAUCAUUGUAGAAAAUGGAAUUGGAAAUCAAUAUAUUUGAGUACACUUUCAGGAAUAUUUAUGAAAUGCCCUGUCAAUGAAAGUACAAUAAGAAAGUAAAAUAUAAUAUUCAUUUAAUUACAGGACUGUAGGGAAAAUACUGGCCUUUGUGAUACAUAGAUAACCAAGAAAAUUGAACUCUAUGUCACUGGAAUGAACCUGGGAAUAAAAAUAUUAUCUAGAAGAACCUCCUACACUAGAUGUUCCUUAAACUUUUCUACCCAUGCCAAGGCCCUUAUUAACUUUUUCCAUCCCAAGCAUGUAACUGCUUAAAAAAUCAAAGAGAAAUCUCUAGCUUAAGAGAGAUGGAGUAUGUAAAGGUUUCCACUGUGUCACAGGAGACAUACAUGGAAUGGGCACCCUCGAAUCUGGUCUAUGUAAGGAAAGCUGUUUAGCAGGUAUACCAUUGAACUUCUCAAUGACAUAAUCAUUAGGCCCUCCCUGAAACAUCUCUUGUAACCUGGAAAGCCCUAGCUUCUGUGAUGUCACAAUAUUGUUGUGACUGAAACUCCCUAUCAGAUAUCACUUCAGUACCUCUAGUGUUUACUAAUUGAAUUCUAAUUCAGAGUAAACAGCCAUUUUGGAGUGAAAGCAAAGAGGAUGAAGAGAUCAGAGAUGGGGAGAAGGAUGCUGGCCUUCUUUCUUGAUAUAAAAAAAGGAAGAAAUACAUGGUCCUUGGGAAAGCUCACAAAACUCUCAAAUAUCAUCCUGGGUGACGAUGUAGAUUAGACCCAUCAGAUGAAAUGAAGAAUUGAAAAACUCUCCUGGGGAUGAAAAUGAACCAGAAUUUUGCCACAGAUAUACAUACGGAGUGCGAGCCACUGUUCAGUGCAUUCCUGCUUGGCUUUAUUUCAUUCAGUGCCUGUGCUGGUACUGUGACACAAGAAGAGCCUUUUCUCAUCCAGUAAAUGCUGCCUGGCAAAUACUCUACGACUUUCUUCAUCGUGACAUUUCCAGCCCUUUACAGCACCCACAAAGAACAAAGUCACUCUGACACCAUGGUGUUCUUUUACCUGUGGUCAUCCUUUGCAUCAUCAGCUCCUGCUAUAUCCUCAUCUGGGAUCUCAAGAUGGACUGGGGUUUCUUUGAUAAGAAUGCAGGAGAUAACAAUUUCCUCUGUCAAGAAAUUUUAUACCCCCAAAAAGCAUGUGUGGAACAUUUACACUUAUCUUAGAUAUAUCUUUAGAUAGGUCAUACAGCAGUACUGACACAGGUCUAGUUAACUAAUAUGAUUACAAAACAAUUAUCCCAGAUACCAAUAUAGUCCACAAAACACCGUAUCUGUUUCUUUUUUGUGUAGUAGAGCCAGUGGGACAUUUGUUAGAAUUGAGUGCCAACCCAAUAAAAGUGGGAGAAAAAAUAUAUAUGUCAUAUAUUGUAUAUAAUAUAUUUUAUAUUAUAUUAUAUUAUUUAUGAUUUUACUGGCAUAUUAGAGUUACAGGGCUAAGAGAUGCUGAAUUUUAAAUUAAAAGAACAAGAAUCCUUAAACAGAUGAUUUAGUAAAGGUAAAUGUGAUUAGAUAUUGAAAACAUUGAGCCAUGAACUGGGAAUCUAGCUGUCCUUAUCCAAUCGCAGCUGUACACC
Molecule: non-coding RNA, 1826 nt
Organism: Rattus norvegicus (Norway rat)
Lineage: Eukaryota; Metazoa; Chordata; Mammalia; Rodentia; Muridae
Source: RefSeq, a predicted model, not a curated record